ACCCAGUGGUCAGAUGUAUUUAUCUUGCCAGGAUUUCUACCUCCUGGCCUUGCAAAGGGAGUAUAAAAUGACACUCUGCCAUUAAUUAGAAACAAAAGAAAGAGUGGAUAUGCUUAAUGUCCAUUUGAAUAUCGGCAUGACAGUGUGUUCUGGACUGUUUGGGUCUCCUCUUUUAUUUCAUGGUAACCCAUUGCUGAGCAUUCUCCCUAAGGACUAAGCUGUAGUUUCCUUAUUUCGCUGCUAGGUGCUUGCAACCCUUUCUCUUUCAUUCUUGUUUCCUUCAAGUGGCCUAUUAGACCAAAGUUGCUCUUUGAAGAUUUGUUAAAUAGAAGCUACCUACAGAGAGACACAAGUCAUCAGUUUGUCUACCUGCAUCCAAAAUAUAAUUGGUCCAUCCAUAUAAACACUUGGUACCCGGUUGGUGGCGCCAUUCCGGAGGUUAUGGAAUCUUAAUGCAGUAGAGCCUUGGUAGAAGACGUCACUGGAGAAUAAGAAGAAACUGAGUCCCAGCUAAAGUGCUGCAUUGAUUAGAAUGGUACAUCUACCAAGGCUAUUACUCAGAGCACCAGGACCCUAGUGUGGGGUCUCGCAUUUGGAAACCCUCUAUCCGAUUCACCGUCACCCUGCCUCUAUGAGGGUGCUCCCCCACUCACCCACCCACUCCUGUCUUCCUGCCCUGGCAUUCCCUUACC
Long non-coding RNA from Mastomys coucha (southern multimammate mouse), 692 nucleotides. RefSeq lists it as uncharacterized. The record is from RefSeq and is a predicted model, not a curated record. The transcript is spliced from 4 exons. NCBI's taxonomy places the organism in Eukaryota, Metazoa, Chordata, Mammalia, Rodentia, Muridae.